CUGUCGAGUAGUCCUGAUUUCCGUGUCCAACGUUUAACUGUCCGUCUUAUGUGAAUUUUUUUUUAUAAUUAGUAUUUUUAUUAUUGUUAGAUGAUAAAACAUAAUUAAUACUUUAUGUGUGACUUGUCUUUUUAAUUUUUUUUAUAAUUUUUUUAAAUAAGACGAACGGUCAAACGUUGGACACGAAAAUCUAGAGUUUGUCUUUUU
Oryza rufipogon (brownbeard rice) is the source of this 207-nucleotide microRNA precursor. It matches the Rfam family "MIR812 microRNA precursor family". The record is from Rfam. NCBI's taxonomy places the organism in Eukaryota, Viridiplantae, Streptophyta, Magnoliopsida, Poales, Poaceae.